UCUUCUAAAACCUUCCUGUGGGAAAUUGGGAGCCACUCCUCCAAAGGUCUCUCUCCCAAUAACUGGAUUUAUAGAAAGGAAAGGACAGAAAGAAGCAGCCCCCACGUUCACCCCAGCCCCUGCCCAUCCCAGUCUGCACAAGCCUUCUCACCACACCAGAGGCCACCUCACGCUCGGCCUCUUCUCCCUGGCACGGUGGCUCACACAGGAAAAGCCAAAGUGUAAUUAGCUAAUAGCAGAGCUCCUCCGUUAAUGGAAAGGGCAUUUCAAACUUAUGCAAACUGAUACCAUGGGAUUUGUGAGAAAUCAUCAGUAGGAUGCAACAGAGAGGACUCACAGGUCACUUGUCAAGUGGGGACAAAGCUUUUCUCUAAGCUUUGAGACCCAGAGUGGGUCUCUGAAUCGCUGGCCUGCUGGGAUGUGAGAGCACUGGGGGAGGAAGCUGGGACCCCUUUUUGGAGCAUCUUUUCCCUCAUAACAGUUCCGGUCAGUACUGCUACAUACCCAACAGGCAUGAUCUCAGCUGUUCCUCACCACAACCCAAUGAGACUCCCUUGCGGUUGGGUGUAGCCAUGUGACUGAGAGCUGGCCAAUGUCAUGUGCUAGGGAGAGGAGCAGUGAGCAAACACAAAAUCCCUGCCUGUUUAGAACUGAUCUUCUAGUGGUGGUGGUUGGGGCCAGGAGCAACUGGACAGUGAAUUACUAAGAGGCAUUGUCCUUUUAGUCCAAGGCUCUAGUUCCUGUAUCAUACAAAUGCUUCUGGCAAAGGAAAAUAUUUCAAGCUAUUUUGGUCAUUAAACCUUAAAGACGUUGACUGCAAAUUUGGCUGAG
Long non-coding RNA from Piliocolobus tephrosceles (Ugandan red Colobus), 831 nucleotides. RefSeq lists it as uncharacterized. NCBI's taxonomy places the organism in Eukaryota, Metazoa, Chordata, Mammalia, Primates, Cercopithecidae. The record is from RefSeq and is a predicted model, not a curated record. The transcript has 4 exons.